RNAcentral lists this transfer RNA (91 nucleotides) under Geobacter sp. RNAcentral describes it as "tRNA-Ser". It matches the Rfam family "tRNA". From Rfam's summary of the family: Transfer RNA (tRNA) molecules are approximately 80 nucleotides in length. Their secondary structure includes four short double-helical elements and three loops (D, anti-codon, and T loops). The record is from RNAcentral. Lineage: Bacteria; Pseudomonadati; Thermodesulfobacteriota; Desulfuromonadia; Geobacterales; Geobacteraceae. RNAcentral also lists the same sequence under 2 other names.
GGAGAGAUGUCCGAGCGGCUGAAGGAGCACGAUUGGAAAUCGUGUGUGCGUUAAUAGCGUACCGAGGGUUCAAAUCCCUCUCUCUCCGCCA